RNAcentral lists this ribosomal RNA (411 nucleotides) under Amitermes evuncifer. Its description in RNAcentral is "partial 12S ribosomal RNA". The record is from RNAcentral. Lineage: Eukaryota; Metazoa; Arthropoda; Insecta; Blattodea; Termitidae.
AAAAUUAAUUUGUUUGUGCCUGAGUAGUAUUAGUUAUGUUCUUGAAACUUAAAGAAUUUGGCGGUAUCUCAUUCCGUUCAGAGGAAUCUGUCUCUUUAUCGAUAGUCCACGUUGGACCUUACUUGGUUGCUUUGGUUUGUAUACCGCCGUUUAUUUGAUUAUCUUUUUAGAGUUUAUUUAAUUUUCUAGUUUCCUUAUUUUGGUUUAUUUCAGGUCAAGGUGCAGCUUGUUUCCAAGUGAAUGAUGGAUUACAUUGUUAUUUUUUUUUGGAUUGCUUGCUUGAAUGUGGGCAUGAAAUUGGAUUUGGUUGUAAUGGUUUGUAGAUUGUUACUAUGAUAAUUGGUUCUGGGAUAUGCACACAUCGCCCGUCGCUCUCGUUGCUGCUAAAUGAGAUAAGUCGUAUAAUAGUAA